GAGCAGCAGGUAACUGCCCACUUCAUCUCUCAGAGCUCCUCUCGGUCUCUUCCACUUCCUCUACCCAUCCCUUGCCCAAUCCGGUGCCUUCUCGCUAACACUCAUGAUUCUCUCUCCCUCUCAAUCUCAGCAUCAGCAUUGGGAAAGUGACCUCUGAGGGGCCACAUUACAGAGAGGCAGGACUGAGUCCAAGGCAUCUUAGGUCCUUGGGGUAAUGUCUCCACUGGGAAGCGGCUCUUCUCUUUCUAUUAUAGUCACAGUUUCUCUGGAAGAAGAUGCAGGUGCCCGCCAACCUGACCCUCAGGAAUCUGCAAGCCUGUACCAACUUGUGCAGACACCUGAGGGACAUCCCAGCAGCCUGGUCUGCAACACAGAUUGCAGAGAUGGAGCUCUCAGACUUUGAGGACCGCCUGGCACUAUUUGCAGGAGAUCCAGGACUUGGGCCUGAGGAGCUACAGGCAGCCAUGGGAAAGGCAAAGAAGGUUAGGGAUGGAGAGACCACUAGCAGUUAGAGGGGAUAAAAAAGAAGUUGGUUGGUGUAAAGUGGAACUCAAGGGGAGAGUUGGGUGAGAUGUGGGGAAACAGGAACUGAAAAGAGGAUUUGGAUCUCAAAAAGUUCAGAGGGAAUCAGUAUUGAGGAAAUGGAGCUAGUACAUGAAUACAGGGACCAAAGCAGUGGUUAUCAAAUUUCAGUGUCAAAAAAUCUGGGGAGCAGGUUUUAAAAAUGCUGUUGCUAG
Molecule: long non-coding RNA, 737 nt
Filed under: Fukomys damarensis (Damara mole-rat)
Lineage: Eukaryota; Metazoa; Chordata; Mammalia; Rodentia; Bathyergidae
Description: lncRNA (ENSFDAG00000023302.1)
Source: RNAcentral